GUAGAUACAAAGCAAUUUUGGUAGCUGAUGUGCCAAAAUCUGUUGCAGCUUUGAAACAAGGGGAUCCUAAAUUUGCUGAAGAUGGUGCAAAUGAUGCUGCAGUUGAAGCAACUACUUGUGAGAAUGGCUUCAAAGGAAAAUCACCACUCUCUAAUGAGAAUAUUGCUAUGCAUGAUGUAGCAGCUAUAACAGCAGCUAUUGUUAAACAAUUGCUCUAGACUCAUAGCUAGUAAUUUAUUUACUCAAAUAUAUCAUCAUCAUGCAAUUUAUUAAUAUUAUGUAUUAUAUCAUGUUUACAAUAUGUUAUUUGUCUAAUCAAAGUUUUACUAUGAACAUUGAACUUUGCAUUUACCCCUUUCACAAUAUUCAUUCACAGUCUCUUUGUCGGCAUCUAUGUGGUACUCCCUCUGGUCUUAUAUAUAAGCAAAAAUUCAUUUUUCACGUUUAUUGAGUAACUUAUGUAUCUGGUUUAUAUAUAAACCAGAUACACCAGUUAUUCAAUGAAUAUUAAAAUCGCGAGUUAACUUAAAGAAUCAUACAAUUCCACAAGACCAACAAUAAUGUCUUUUCACAUAAUUGGUCUUGUGUUUAGUAAUUUGUCUUAAUCCUAGUUAAACUUGUAUUUAUUAAUUGUGGGGUAUAGAACAUUAAUUAGGUGUGUUGAAGCUACUAGAACUAGUGAGGUUCAGAGAACCAAAAAUAGUUAAUAGAUAAAAAUACUGAUUUAGGUUGGAGUUACCUUAUUGAGGGUAAAGAUGUUUGGUUCUGUUUCUAUUUCAGAAUAGGGGACCCUUUUGUUUUGGUUGCAGCUGUUGGCUAUAGGUGACUCCUGGCUCCAUAACCUUUCCUUCCUUUGUCUUCUUGUGAUUUCAACCACAAGAACUGAAACACUCAAUUAUAAAAAUGGUUGGUUCUGAAGGGUUGAGUGAAGAAUGUGAAGUCAUAAA
Molecule: long non-coding RNA, 947 nt
Filed under: Trifolium pratense (red clover)
Lineage: Eukaryota; Viridiplantae; Streptophyta; Magnoliopsida; Fabales; Fabaceae
Description: long non-coding RNA (TPRA_LNC002105)
Source: RNAcentral